AAACAGAAGCAGAACCAUUUUAAAGUGAGAUAAGAUGAUGCUGUUCAUCCUCUGCUGGAUGAGCUCCAAUAUCUUACUAGUUUCAGGUUCCUCCCUGAGCGACCAGGUCAUCCAGACUCCAGCUCAGAUGUUCCAGAAAACCAAAGAAACAGCCAGAAUCAGCUGUUCUCACAGCAUUCAGACCUACAACCAGAUCCUCUGGUACAAACAGACUGAGCAUCAGAUGCAGCUGCUGGGAUACAUGACAGGAACCAGUCCGUUUCCAGAGAAGGGAGUGAACGUGGAGAUGGCGGGGAGCGCGAAUGCAAACCAGGACUGCACUUUAAUAAUCAAAGAGCUGAACGUGAGCAGCAGUGCUGUUUACUUCUGUGCGGCUAGUAGCACAGUGCUGCGGUUCACUGCUGCUCAGUGCAAAAACCCAACAUCAGUGUUUCUGUAAUCUGCAUCGCAGCUCAUCUCAUCCUGCACCUGCGAGGAAGUGGCGCAAUUCAUCCCACGGGGUUUUAUACUUCAGUUCAUUCAAAUGUUUUACAUUUUGAUUAAGAGUUUAAUCAAAGAGUGAGAUCAGGAAACGGGAAAGAUAAAGUCUGACCAAGCAAACUAAAGUUCAUGUGGAAUCAUGAGUAUCAGGAUCAGUUUUGUAAGUAAAUUCAAAGUGAUACAAAAAGAGAAGAGAUAAGCAUUUUUUGGAUUUUUUUUUUAACAGCUAAAAUCAUUUCAGUUCAAUUUCAAAUUUAACAACACUUUGCUUUCAAAGGGAAAUCAAAUAAUAUAACUGAAGUCAUUCAACAUUUUUAAAGGGUUAUUGUAGAUGGAGACGGUGGGACAGAUCUCCUGCAGCAGUCUGUGUUGCAGCGAAUUUCAAAAAGCCUCUCAUAAAAGUAUAAUUUUCAAACUCCAACAGAGAGACUAAUGUGCUUACUGUAAAAUAUUUAUGAAAGCAGCACUAAAAAUUCUAACCUAUAUUAUAACCUGUAAUAUAGGCCCUUAACUGGCCCCCGGCUUCUCCCCACAUACUAUGUUGUGGGGAGAAGUCAGUCCCCACAACUUAGUAUUUUUUAGAAAAUGGUCCUUAAACUGUAUCGAAAACAAGGCCACAGAAAGAAACACACGUUCAUCCCUGUACCUCCAGCCAGCUGGGGACUUUUAUUGAUUUCCAUUCAUAUUCAUAACUGCAUUUAUGUCUAACCCAGAAAUUUUGCCUAAUAUAUUCCUAACAUUAACUUAAGGAUAUGGUCUAAAUCUUACUGAAAUAGAACUGAA
Poecilia latipinna (sailfin molly) is the source of this 1263-nucleotide non-coding RNA. Lineage: Eukaryota; Metazoa; Chordata; Actinopteri; Cyprinodontiformes; Poeciliidae. The record is from the annotation of a RefSeq genome assembly.